AAAAAAGAAGCCCGGCCCAGUAGCCCACGCAGUCGUCCGUCUUCCUCCACAUCCCCGUCUCCAAGAACACGGGUGGGGGGAAAACCAAUCCGCCGCCGACGCCGCCCCCUCAUCCCCGUCUCUCCCAAUCUUUUCUUCCCUCUCCCGCACCCCGUGGCUUCCGCCGUGGGCCGAUUGAGUGUUCCAGAAUUCUUCGUCCGCCGUCCGUCCCCGCACUCACGCACGCGUACACCUAUCUUCCUCCUUCGCCUGGUUCGUGUACGGCUCAGAGCGGAGCAGGGGACUGAUCGAUGUAAGGUUCGGCUUCCAAUCCAUCCAGGCCGCCGGCCGGUCCACCGAGGGGAGAGUCCAAGUCGUCCAGGCGAAACCCUAGACGCCGCGGGGAUGGAGCAUCUCCGCCGCCUCGCCCAGUUCUUGCUCGCCUCAGCUCGCGGGGAUGGAGCAGGACGGCGCCGCCCAGGCCCAGGACGACGGCGCCGUGGACGGCUGGGCGCACGACGGCACGGAGACUCCUCCCCUACAGCACCCCGGCGGAGUGCCCCGGGGCCGUUGACCCCCCUCCUUGCCGGCGUCUCCGCCGCCGCCUCCGCGCAGCCGCUCGUGAGCGACCCUCAACUACGACUCGGUGGGGAGGAGCCCUUCGACGACCUUGACGCCUGCUCCGUCGACCACAACCACUGCUUCCGCAAGAAAGCCGCAUGGAUUGGGGAUAUGUACUUCGGUUUGGGUUCAUCAAAAGCGGCAAUUUUUGCGCAUUUGUAUUAACUAUCGAGGAUCUCAAGUUCACAUGGAUCACACUAUGAUCAAGUGCAUUCUAGUGCUGUGAUGAUUGUGACGGAAAAUGUUAGCAGCAGAAGCAAUCGCUACGUCUCAGCUCCAAUAUUAAAAAUCAGUGCACCUGAACUGCGACACAAUUUUUCUCAUUUGGAACUGCGGUUAUAAGGUAUCUAAUCUGAAAGCGAAAUCAUCAGGAUUUUGACCUCCAUACGAAAUCUGCAAGGGUAACAACAACAAAGGAAACUGGUGUAAGAUUGAGUACUAAGGCUCGAAGAUGAGCUACCAUCAAGAUUAUGUCUCGACAAUGAAGUAUAGUGAUUUUUUUUACCGAACUCACAGAAGUAGAUUGUGUAUCCCAUGCAACGUUCAACCUAAUGGACAUCGAGGGAACCACUUUGAGUACGCAAUUGUUUGUGUGGAGGAAAAUGCAUGGUACUAAAGCUAACCUUCCUCUGGUCCAGAUGAAAUCAAGGCAACUGGGUCUUCUAUCUUCAAGCAUCAAUUUGUUAGUUUUUCUUGGCUUCAGUGCAUCCCCUCAUAUUACUGUUUUUAAACUACAUUGCAGUGUGCUAAUUAUUUUCUAAAAAAAUUACAGUGUAUUAAUUAAGUAAAACUUAUUUGAAGUAGAUGUAGCACGACCUUUAGGAUUUUGCACACAGACCACACCAAUUUCGAGUAGUCGUACUUCUACAUAUCUGCUCACCAAAUAAGCUGCAUGGUUAUUAUGAACGUGGUAAACUCUGAAGCUAUUUUCUUUAUUAGUCCGAAAAGAAACUGAACUAUUUGUGUGGGGCCAGAGAAGCGUACUUUCAAUAAAAAUUGCAAUUGAUUGGGCAAGAGAAAUCAACUCAAUACUGCAAUUUUCCAUAUGAAGUAGUAAGACUACCCACAGUGGGAGUAACAUAGGUCGUAACAUCACACAUAUCUAGGCAAAAUAGAUGUUCUGGCAAGUAAUUAAUGAAGAAAGAGAGUCAUGUGGUAACAUAGCUAAUUACUAGUAGUAUGAGUAACAUCACACAUAUCAAGGCAAGAUGAGUCUACAACCUAAUAAAUGAAGUGUUGCAUGACACCACAUAUAUGUUACUCCCCAGUAUAGAGGUAGUAACAUAGACUAGUAACAUAUGCAUGUUACUAGUCUAAGUUACUCCCCACUGUGGCUAGUCUAAGAGGAGGCGUACCAUUGUAAAUCGAUGUAGGCUGAAGGCUAGUUGCAUCUUUGGCGUGUGAUCAAACCCGGCAAGUUGCAACUAUGUGGAGCAUCCACACUACUGCCACCACAUGCUUGCUAAAACGCUGAUCUAACCUUCCCUGUACAUCGGCCACAUAUUCGGCGAGAAUGUUUGAUGGCAAGCUGGGGCAAUUGUUGUUGUAUUGAGUAUCCAGAUGAUAACCGUCAUGAAAAUCACGACAUGGAUCGAUGUGCCCAUCAUGUUUGGUAGUAGAUGAUGCAUUAUUUGAGCUUGAUAGAGUAUGAUUAUAUCCCACACGGUCUUGUUUGCAUCAAAAGUGUGGCCCACUUUGGGUUUGGGGAAGAAUGCACCAACCAUUUUGGUAGUGGGCAUCUCAACAGUUAUUUGGGCCUCAUUCCUCUAAUACGCUAGUAAUUGUCUCCUUUCCCGUAUUUCUCUUAGUCUCACUCCCAUACACUUCAUGAUCAGAGGGAGGGAAUGUUAGCAGCCAUGGUGGCAGUGUCCCCUUCGGCCGUUCAUGCAACUUGAGAGGAUGAAGCCUCUAGUGAUGUCGCGCGAAAGGCAUCUGCACCAGUGAGUUUGCCACCAUCCUAGCCGUGACGACAAUGCGACAGAGCAUAUAGUGGAGGGCAGAGCAAGACGGCCGAGGGAGAUGGCUCAUCAGAAGAAUACACGACACGCGGAUGACCAGUGUAGUAGAGAAGAGGAUGAGGGGGAAUCACUGGGGAAGCCUCAGGGGACGAGCCAGGUGAGGUAGUCUCAGGUAAUGAACGAGGCGAGAAAGCCGCAGGUGAUGACGAGCUUGAUAAAGAAGCGGUUAGAGGUAGAAGAAACCUCAAUCCCUAGGAAGUAGCGAAGAGGACCAAGAUCAGACAUAAGAAACCCAAUAUGAUGAGCCUUCACAAAGGCAAUGUACUUAGAGUCAUUGCAGAGAUGAUCGACAUAUAGAAGAAGAGUUUGACCACGAGUUGAAAGGUGGACAAGAAUUGUAGGAUCAUGAGAUCGCCGAAAACUAGCCGCAAUCACCACUGAGACAAAAUGCUCAAACUAGGCACGAAGGGUUUGCUUAAGGCCAUAAAAGAGCGAUGAAGACGACAAACCAUGCCAUCAGGAAGAGAAUACCUAGGUGGUGGCUAUAUGUAGACCUCAUGCAACAGGGAGGAAGAUAAAUGAUAUCCCACAUGCCUAUUCGCGCAAGAGCAACAAUCUCCUCUACAAUGCAUGCUGCUAUUCAUGAUGAACAAAUGCGUCAGACUAAGAAGUCGUCUCGAGAAAAGCGACGAUGGAAUAACCAAUAACCAUAGCGGCCAAUAGGCAAAAGCGAGCAAGCUCGGAAGCCAUAAGUAGGCCGAGCUUUAGGUGGUGCAUUGCCAACAAGAAAGGCCAUAGUAGUCGAGGGAGAUGGCUCAUUAGAAGGAUCCACAACACAUGGACCACAAGUGUAGUGAAGAAGAUGAUAAAGGGGAAUCAUCGGGGAAACCUCAUGGAUGAGCGAGGUGAGGUCGCCUCAGGUAAUGAACGAGGUGGGGAAGCCGCACGUGGCGACGUGUGGGGUCUAUAACAGUAGUACGUGAGGAUAAGCUAGGAUAGGUGAGCGAGGGCAAUAAAUGAGUGAUAAGUGUAUUAGGAGAACUGAGGGAAGAAAUAUCCUCAAUGGGGGAGGCCGAAGGAGAGGAUGGACGUGGAUAGAAAGGACGAGACUCAAUCAAAAGUCACAUCAAGAAAUGCCCAUCCGAUGACUAACAAGAUCCCAACACUGAUAGCCCUUGUGCUCAUCACUGUAACCUAAGAAGACACAUUCAACAGAUUGAUCAAACAGUUUGGUUCGUGAAGAACGUAGCAAACACAACCAAACAAAUGAAGUGUUUAGUAGUUAGGAGAGAGUGCUCAUAAAGACGCUCGAGAGGAAUGUCGCCAUGUAGAGCCGAGGAAGGAUGAAUGUUGAUGAGAUAGGUGGCCACGAUCAACGCGCUAGCCGCCUCACGAAUGUGACGAUGCUUGCGCUCAACAACCCCAUUCCAAGCAUGAGCCCGGGACAAGAGAACUGAGCUAGUGUGCUUUGCUCAACAAGGAAUCUGGGCAGCAAAUGAGAGUUACACACAAGCAGAAUCUGCACGAAAGACAUGGAUAAUAGUGGAAAACUGGGUAUGAACCAAGGCGGCAAACUUCUUAUAGAUAGAUAAGACCUCACUAGAAGAAGACAUAAAAUAUAUCGACUUGUGUCGAGAGAAGUAAUUGUAAAGAUAAUAUAGUGGCGAUGACCUCCUUUAGAGGCGAAGGGAGCUGGGUCCCAAACAUUAGAGUGAACAAGAUUGGAAGGACACUGUGACAUAGUCUCGCUAUGAGGAUAUGGUAACUGAACGUGUUUACCUAGCCGACAAACUUGACCGUCUAAAGUUACAUUGCGAGAGACAGAUCCUAGAAGACCACAUCGUUCUAAGGAUGAGAGAUGAGAGCCACACAUGUGACUGAGACAAUGAUGCCACAAAGAGUCGGUAGACAAGGUAAGAGAGUCGAAGAGACUGGCGGAUGUGGUAGCGGAAGGAAGAAGAAACCUGGCAAGCUUCAGAGGCCGUGCGAGUCACAACGUUGAGGGCCAACACCAAGUAGAGCACCCGUGUGCCGAUCCUAAAUCAGAACAAGAGUCAAAGUCAAGAAUAUUGGAAUAAUAAAAAUAUUGUUUGGUUCAAUGAUACAUCUGCUUGGGUUCUAGGACGGAGUUAAACUUGAGAUUGGGCACUUGGAUUUGUGAUAUUUAGGGUGUAAACAUGAGCUUGAAACUGGAGAACGGUGUAACAUGAUCAACCUGAGAUAUAUUGAAUUUAUAUAGGUAUAGUAUGAUUAGCAUGAAUGCGGUAUUGAUGGACUUUUGGAUCAUCUUGGAUAUUACUAGUUGGAUUCUAGGUUAGAGAUAACUUGAGCACUUGGAUUUGUGAUAUUUUGACCUAAGCAUAGUAGCUUGUAUGGUGCCCCAAAUGGAUAUGGGCAUGCAGAUGAUCCGAUCGUAGUUGGUAGACCGCGAUGAUUUUGCUAGCCCUCCCCAAGAAUGUUACCAGUACAAGAUCAUCAUGGGAGGAUGAUUUGGAUGAAUUAGAAUAAAUGACAAUUUCAGUGGUAUGAGUCUUGUUGGAGCAGUUGAUGUUGCUUUUAUUAUGUGUUUGUGGUUCUUUAGAUCAGUAGUAAGAGGAGGGUACGGCUUAUGAAGUGAUAUUAUAUUGGUGAAUAAAUAGAUCUUUACUAACCUUGAAACAGUUUGGAUUUACUUAGAUUAUUGUGAUCUUGAAAAAAAUCUGCUGGAUAAAUAACUUCUAAUUUUUGGAUCUAUAGUCAUCCAGUGGAAGCUUGCUUUAUACUGGACUUAGAUAACAAUGAUAGUGGGCUUGGCUGGAUCAUAAUUAUGAUUUGCACUAGAUGCACACUUUUAGAGAUUGAAACUAGAGAACUUUAGGGUGUAGUAUGAUCAGUCGAAGAUAUAUUGGAUUUAAUAUGAAUAUAAAUGAUCAACGUGAUUGUGAAAAUUGAUGGAAGAACACAAAGAUAUUCGAGUAACAAAAAUGUUGUUUGUGUUAGGUCCAAUGAUAUAUCUGCUUGGAUUCUAGUUCUAGGUCGGAGUUAAACUUGAGAUUGGGCACUUGGGUUUGUGAUAUUUUGACAUAAGGUUCAAAACCGGAGAACUUAGGGUGUAGCUUGAUCAACCUGUGAUGUAUUGAAUUUACAUAGGUAUAGUAUGAUUAGCAUGCAUGCGGUAUUGGUGGACUAUUGGAUGAUCUUAGAUAUUACUAGUUGGAUUCUAGGUUGGAGAUAACAUGAGCACCUGGAUUUGUGAUAUUUUGACCUAAGCUUAGUAGCUUGUAUGCGCCCCAUAUGGAUAUGAGCAUGGAGAUGAUACAAACGGAUUGUAGUUGGUAGACAUUGAUGAUUUUAGCUAGCCCUCACCUAUAAUGUUACGAGUACAAAAUCAUCAUGGGAGGUGGUUUGGAUUAAUUAGAAUAGAUGAUCAUUUCAGUGGUAUGAGCCUUGUUGGAGCAGCUGAUCUUGCUUUUAUUAUAUGUCUGUGCUCCUUUAGAUGCAGUAGGAGGAGGAGGGUAGUAAUUAUGACGUGAUAUUAUAUUGGUGGAUAAAUACAUCUAUAAUAACCUUGGAACAGUUUGGAUUUACUUAGAUGAUUGUAAUCUUGAAAACAAAUCUGGUGGAUAGAUAACUUUUAAUUUUUGGAUAUAUAGUCAUCCAGUGGAAGCUUUACUCGAUCGCUUGAAGAUCGACAUUGCCGCAACGGCUUGGCGCAAAGCCCGAUGUGGCUGAUAGGGUUUUCACCCUCUCGCACACCUCCCGUGCAUUGUUCCUUCCCCGCCAAUUCGGCUUGGUGUCCUUCUAUUGUUUGCGGGUUCUGUGCCACUGACUUGAUCCGGCAUCACACGUUCUCUCGACAUGUGUCCUUGGCCGUGGCGGUAGGCAACGUCGUGCUCUCGGGCUGUGUCUCGUGGGUUAGCCAUUGUGGUGUCGACUGCCUAUGUGGCUAUGGAGGCACCCAGCAGGGAAACACGAGAUGUUGUGGGAUUGAGGCAUCACACAUAGCAACCCGUAGCCAGGCAAAGGAUGCUGGUCGGACUAGCAGGGAGCGGAUUGCACAUGAGGUAUGGUGGAAGGGAUGAAAACGUUGGUGGGAGCGGACUGUCAGAGCCAAGCAUCGAGGGGAUGGUGAUCGGGAAAGGUGGAAAGAUGGUUGGAUCAUAGUUAUAAUUACUACUAGAUUCACACCUUUAGAGAUUCAAACUGUAGAACUUUAGGGUGUAGUAUGAUCAAUCGGAGAUAUAUUGGAUUUAUAUGAGUGUAAUAAUGAUCAGCAUGAUUGUGAAAAUUGAUUGCCUAUUACAUCAUCUCUGAUUGAAUAGUAGGAAGAAAACAAAGAUAUUAGAGUAAUAGAAAUGUUUGUUUGUGUUUGGCUCAAUGAUAUUUCCGCUUGGAUUCUAGGUUGGUGUUAAACUUGACGCACUUGGAUUUGUGAUAUUUUCACAUGAGCCUGAAACUGGAGAACUUUAGGGUGUAGCAUCAUCAACCUGAGAUGUAUUGGAUUUAUAUAGGUAUAGUAUAUGACUAGCUUGAAUGCGGUAUUGGGGGGGGGGGACUAUUGAAUGGUUUUGGAUAUUACUAGUUGGAUUUUAGGUUGGAGAUAACUUGAGCACUUGGAUUUGUGAUAUUUUAACCUAAGCUUAGUAGCUUGUAUGUGACCCAUAUGGAUAUGAGCAUGAAGAUGAUACAAACAGAUCAUAGUUGGUAGACUUUGAUAAUUUUGCUAGCCUUCCCAAAGAAUGUUACGAGUAGAAGAUCAUGGGAUGAUGAUUUGGUCUAAUUAGAAUAGAUGACAAUUUUAGUGGUAUGAGCCUUGUUGGAGCAGCUGUUGUUGCUUUUAUUAUGUGUUUGUGCUCCUUUAGAUGGAGUAGUAGAAGGGUAUGACUUAUGAAGUGAUAUUAUAUUGGUGGAUAAAUAGAUCUUUAUUAACCUUGGAACAAUUUGGAUUUACUUGGAUUAUUGUGAUUUUGAAAAAAAUUGGUGGAUAAUAAAUUCUAAUUUUUGGAUCUAUAGUCAUCUAGUGGAGCUUGCUUUAUACUGGACUUAGUUAACCAUGAUAGUGGGCUUGGUUGGAUCAUAGUUAUGAUUUGUACUAGAUGCACACUUUUAGAGAUUGAAACUGGAGAACUUUAGGGUGUAGUUUGAUCAAUCGGAGACAUUGGAUUUAAUAUGAAUAUAAUGUGAUCAACGAUGAUUGUGAAAACUGAUGGAAGGAAACAAAGAUAUUGGAGUAAUAGAAAUGUUGUUUGUGUUAGGUUCAAGAUAUAUUUGAUUGGAGUCUAGUUCUAGGUCGGAGCUAAACUUGAGAUUGGGCACUUAGAUUUGUGAUAUUUUGACAUGAGCUUCAAAACUGGAAAACUUUAGGGUGUAGCAUGAUCAACCUGAGAUAUAUUGGAUUUAUAUUGGCAUAGUAUGAUAAGCAUGAAUGCGGUAUUGAUGGACUAUUGGAUGAUCUUGGAUAUUACCAAUCAGAUUCUAGGUUGGAGAUAACAUGAGCACCUGGAUUUGUGAUAUUUUGACCUAAACUUAAUAGCUUGUAUGCACCCCAUAUGGAUAUGAGUAUGAAGAUCAUAUAAACGGAUUGUAGUUGGUAGACUUUGAUGAUUUUGCUAGCCCUCCCCAAGAAUGUUACGAGUACAAGAUCAUGGGAGAAUGAUUUGGAUUCAAUAGAAUAGAUGAUAAUUUCAGUGGUAUGAGCCUUUUUUGUGCGGGUAUGAGCCUUGUUGGAGUAGCUGAUCUUGCUUUUAUUAUGUGUUUGUGCUCCUUCAGAUGCAGUAGUAGGAGGGUAGUAGUUGUGAUGUGAUAUCAUAAUUGUGGAUAAAUACAUCUUUAAUAACCUUGGAACAUUUUGGAUUUACUUAGACGAUUGUGAUCUUGAAAACAAAUUUGGUGGAUAAAUAACUUCUAGUUGUUGGAUCUAUAGUAAUCCUGCGGAGGCUGAGGUAGUUGCAGAGGAGCGAUGAGAAAGCACAUGAGAAGCUUUACUCAAUCGCCUGAAGUCGACAUUGCCGCAACGGCUUGGCGCAAAGCUCGAUGCGGCUGAUAGGAGUUUCACCCUCUCGCACACCUCUCAUGCAUUGUUCCUUUCCCGCCAAUUCGGCUUGGUGUCCUUCCCUUGUUUGCGGGUUCCGUUCCACUGACUUGAUCCGGCAUCACACGUUCUCCUGCCGUGUGUCCUUGGCCUUGGCGGUAGGUAACGUCGUGCUCUCGGGCUGUGUCUCGUGGGUUAGCCAUUGCGGUGCCAACUGCCUUUGUGGCUAUGGCGGCACCCAGCAGGGGAACACGAGAUGUGGGAUUGAGGCAUCGCACAUAGCAACCUGAAGCCAGGGAAAGGAUGGCGGUCGGACUGGCAGGGAGCGGAUUGCACAUGAGGUAUGGUGGAAGGGAUGAAAACGUUGGUGGGAGCGUACUUGGAGCCAAGCGUCGAAGGGAUGGCGUUUGGGGAAGGUGGAAAGAUGGUUGGAUCAUAGUUAUGAUUACGACUAGAUUCACACCUUUAGAGAUUGAAACCGGAGAACUUUAGGUUGUAGCAUGAUCAAUCUGAGAUGUAUUGGAUUUAUAUAGGUGCAGUAUGAUUAGCAUGAGUGCGGUAUUGGUGGACUAUUGGAUGAUCUUGGAUAUUACUAGUUGGAUUCUAGGUUGGAGAUAGCACUUGGAUUUGUGAUAUUUUGACCUAUGCUUAGUAGCUUGUAUGUGCUCGAUAUGCAUAUGAGCAUGGAGAUGAUACAAAUGGAUCAUAGUUGGUAGACUUUGAUGAUUUUGCUAGCCCUCCCCAAGAAUAUUACGAGUACAAGAUUAUCAUGGGAGGAUGAUUUGGAUUAAUUAGAAUAGAUGACAAUUUCAGUGGUAUGAACCUUGUUGGAGCAGUUGAUCUUACUUUUAUUAUGUGUUUGUGCUCCUUUAGAUGCAGUAGUAGGAGGAGACUAGUACUUAUGAAGUGAUAUUAUAUUGGUGGAUAAAUAGAUCUGUAAUAAUCUUGGAACUGUUUGGAUUUACUUAGAUGAUUGUGAUCUUGAAAAAAAAUCUAAUGGAUAGUUGUAUUCUAGGUUGGAGAUAACUUGAGCACUUGGAUUUGUGAUAUUUUAACCUAAGCUUAGUAGCUUGUAUGUGAUCCAUAUGGAUAUGCGCAUGGAGAUGAUACAAACGGAUCGUAGUUGGUAGACUUUGAUGAUUUUGCUAGCCUUCCCAAAGAAUGUUACCAGUACAAGAUCAUCAUGGGAGGAUGAUAUGGAUUAAUUAGAAUAGAUGACAAUUUCAGUGGUAUGAGCCUUCUUGGAGCAGUUGAUGUUGAUUUUAUUAUGUGUUUGUGCUCCUUUAGAUGCAGUAGUAGAAGGUUAUGACUUAUGAAGCGAUAUUAUAUUUGUGGAUAAAUAGAUCUGUAUUAACCUUGAAACAGUUUGGAUUUACUUGGAUGAUUGUGAUCUUGAAAAAAAUCUGGUGGAUAAUGAAUUCUAAUUUUUGGAUCUAUAGUCAUGCAAUGGAGCUUGCUUUAUAGUAGACUUAGAUAACCAUGAUAGUGGGCUUGGUUGGAUCGUAGUUAUGAUUUGUACUAGAUGCACACUUUUAGAGAUUGAAACUAGAGAACUUUAGGGUGUAGUUUGAUCAAUCGAAGAUAUAUUGGAUUUAAUAUGAAUAUAAUGUGAUCAGCGUGAUUAUGAAAAUUGAUGGAAGAAAACAAAGAUAUUGGAGUAAUAGAAAUGUUGUUUGUGUUAGGUUCAAGAUAUAUCUGAUUGGAUUCUAGUUCUAGGUGGGAGCUAAACUUGAGAUUGGGCACUUAAAUUUGUGAUAUUUUGACAUGAGCUUCAAAACUGGAGAACUUUAGGGUGUAGCAUGAACAACCUGAGAUAUAUUGGAUUUAUAUUGGCAUAGUAUGAUACGCAUGAAUGCGGUAUUGAUGGACCAUUGGAUGAUCUUGGAUAUUACCAAUCGGAUUCUAGGUUGGAGAUAACAUGAACACCUGGAUUUGUGAUAUUUUGACCUAAACUUAAUAGCUUGUAUGCACGCCAUAUGGAUAUGAGUAUGGAGAUCAUACAAACGGAUUGUAGUUGGUAGACUUUGAUGAUUUUGCCAGCCCUCCCCAAGAAUGUUACGAGUACAAAAUCAUCAUGGGAGAAUGAUUUGGAUUCAAUAGAAUAGAUGAUAAUUUCAGUGGUAUGAGCCUUGUUGGAGUAGCUGAUCUUGCUUUUAUUAUGUGUUUGUGCUCCUUUAGAUGAAGUAGUAGUAGGAGGGUAGUAGUUAUGAUGUGAUAUCAUAAUUGUGGAUAAAUACAUCUUUAAUAACCUUGGAACAUUUUGGAUUUACUUAGACGAUUGUGAUCUUGAAAACAAAUUUGGUGGAUAAAUAACUUCUAAUUGUUGGAUCUAUAGUAAUCCAGCGGAGGCUGAGGUAGUUGCAGAGGAGCGAUGAGAAAGCACAUGAGAAGCUUUACUCGAUCGCCUGAAGAUCGACAUUGCCGCAACGGCUUGGCGCAAAGCUCGAUGCGGCUGAUAGGGUUUUCACCCUCUCGCACACCUCUCAUGCAUUGUUCCUUUCCCGCCAAUUCGGCUUGGUGUCCUUCCCUUGUUUGCGGGUUCCAUGCCACUGACUUGAUCCGGCAUCACACGUUCUCCCGCCGUGUGUCCUUGGCCUUGGCGGUAGGUAACGUCGUGCUCUCGGGCUGUGUCUCGUGGGUUAGCCAUUGCGGUGCCAACUGCCUUUGUGGCUAUGGCGGCACCCAGCAGGGGAACACGAGAUGUGGGAUUGAGGCAUCGCACAUAGCAACCUGAAGCCAAGAAAAGGAUGGCGGUCGGACUGGCAGGGAGCGGAUUGCACAUGAGGUAUGGUGGAAGGGAUGAAAACGUUGGUGGGAGCGUACUUGGAGCCAAGCGUCGAAGGGAUGGCGAUUGGGGAAGGUCGAAAGAUGGUUGGAUCAUAGUUAUGAUUAUUACUAGAUUCACACCUUUAGAGAUUGAAACCGGAGAACUUUAGGUUGUAGCAUGAUCAAUCUGAGAUGUAUUGGAUUUGUAUAUGUAUAGUAUGAUUAGCAUGAGUGCGGUAUUGGUGGACUAUUGGAUGAUCUUGGAUAUUACUAGUUGGAUUUUAGGUUGGAUAUAACUUGAGCACUUGGAUUUGUGAUAUUUUAACCUAAGCUUAGUAGCUUGUAUGUGCUCGAUAUGUAUAUGAGCAUGGAGAUGAUACAAAUGGAUUGUAGUUGGUAGACUUUGAUGAUUUUGCUAGCCCUCCCCAAGAAUAUUACAAGUACAAGAUUAUCAUGGGAGGAUGAUUUGGAUUAAUUAGAAUAGAUGACAAUUUCAGUGGUAUGAACCUUGUUGGAGCAGUUGAUCUUACUUUUAUUAUGUGUUUGUGCUCCUUUAGAUGCAGUAGUAGGAGGAGACUAGUACUUAUGAAGUGAUAUUAUAUUGGUGGAUAAAUAGUUUUUCUGUUUGGAUUUACCUAGAUGAUUGUGAUCUUGAAAAAAAAUCUGGUGGAUAGUUGUAUUCUAGGUUGGAGAUAACUUGAGCACUUGGAUUUGUGAUAUUUUAACCUAAGCUUAGUAGCUUGUAUGUGACCCAUAUGGAUAUGCGCAUGGAGAUGAUACAAACGGAUCGUAGUUGGUAGACUUUGAUGGUUUUGGUAGCCCUCCCCAACGAGUACAAUAUCAUCAUGGGAGAAUGAUUUGGAUUAAUUAGAAUAGAUGACAAUUUCAGUGGUGUGAGCCUUGUUGGAGCAGCUGAUCUAGCUUUUAUUAUUUGUUUUUGCUCCUUUACAUGCAGUAGUAGGAGGAGACUAGUACUUAUGAAGUGAUAUUAUAUUGGUGGAUAAAUAGAUUUUAAUAACCUUGGAACGGUUUGGAUUUGCUAAGAUGGUGAUCUUGGAAAAAAUCUGGUGGAUAAAUAACUUCUAAUUUUUGGAUCUAGUCAUCCGGUGGAAGCUUGCUUUAUACGGGACUUAGAUAACCAUGAUAGUGGACUUGGUUUGGAUCAUAGUUAUGAUUUAUACUAGAUGCACACUUUUAGAGAUUGAAACCGGAGAACUUUAGGGUGUAGUAUGAUCAAUCGGAGAUAUAUUGGAUUUAUAUAUGUAAUAUUAUCAACAUGAUUGUGAAAAUUGAUGAACUAUUACAUCAUCUUGGAUUGCAUUAGUAGGAAGAAAACAAAGAUUUUCGAGUAAUAGAAAUGUUAUUUGUCUUAGGUUUAAUGAUAUAUGCGCUUGGAUUCUAGGUGGAGUUAAACUUGAGAUUGGGCACUUGUAUUUAUGUUAUUUUGACAUGAGUUUUUAACCGGAGAACUUUAGGGUGUAGCAUGAUCAACCUGAGAUAUAUUGAAUUUAUAUAGGUAUAAUAUGAUUAGCAUGAAUACCUAUUGGUGGACUAUUGGAUGAUCUUGGAUAUUAUUAGUUGGAUUUUAGGUUGGAUAUAACAUGAGCACCUGGAUUUGGGAUAUUUUGACCUAACCUUAGUAGCUUGUAUGCGCCCCAUAUGGAUACGAGCAUCCAGAAACAAGAACCUAGGGGAAAACCAUGCUCUCACAACGAUUAGGCAGAUCUGGCCUUUCGUUUCAUUGGCUUGAUGCGUUUUCGGCCGUUGGAUCUCGCUUCUAGACGAUCUGGGCCGCUGGAUCAAGAAAUGGCGCUGUAGGAAUGAAUAGUUAUCUCUCGUUCGUGCCACCGCGCGUAAUUACUGUGCCCCGUCGAGGGCAUUUUUGUCAUUUCGCGUACUCCUUCAUAAAAAGGAAGCAACGUGGUCACUGGAAACCUAGCCUCUUCCUCACUCGCGCCUCCUUCCCCAUCCUCGCAUCCCAGCCCCAUCCCCUAACCCUAGCUCCUCCCGCCGUUGCCCGUCCUCCCGCAGCCCAUCCCGUCGCCAGGCGCGCGCUGCCGCCACCCUUCUUCCUCCCCUCCUACCAUUCCCCUCCCCCAGGCCCGUCUUGAUCGACCAAGCUCAGGCACGCCGUCGGCUCCCGAGCCCUCCUGCUCCGACCCCGCAUAGGGCGCGUCAAUGGCCGGAGCAGAGGAGGAGAUCCAGGGUUCGACUACAAACCCGCUACGGCCAGCUCCUCUUCCCCUCGUUUCUUGCUUCUCAGCUGUCAGGAGUGAGCUGCCUCUGCCGGUGCUUCUGCUGGGUCGGGUUCAUGGUUUGCUUCCUGCGAGUUGGUUGACUUCGAGUGAGGGAGGAGAUUUUUCUGGAGAUUGUUGUCCUCAUGAGACGGACGUGAGGAGGGGCGCGGCAGCGAAGGGGAGGGACUAGUUCCCCGUCGUCAUGCGGGCACGCAUGCUGUGUAUUUAGGAGGCUCGGUCCUCCUCUGGACUUGGCUCCGGCGCCAUGUUGUUGUUACUGAUCUUUGUAGCGUUGCAGGUUCCGGCCGGAUCUGAGAGUAAAAGUGACAGUACCACUACCACCUCUUCCGUCUACAUUUCCUUCUAGGAGGCGCUUCAGAUCAAAUCGGGCAUUAAAACACGGCUUCAGAUGCUGGUCCUGUUACUUUUGCUUCAGGGUAGGCUUCAAACUUUGGCUGAUUAGGAUCGACUGUAAUUCAUUUUUCCUUUUGAGUGUCGGCUGUAAUUUUUGGUGCAGGGAGAACACAUUCUUGUCAGAAAGCCUCAGGUUUGGCACCCAAGACGGACGCCUGUAUAGGCCUACAGGUACACAAUGAUGAUGAGGUCAGAGCCUUGUUUAAGCAAGUGCAAGAAGUCCCUGGAUCUUCUAUAAUUAUUAUGAAGGUGGCAUCUCAGAGCUGACAUCUAGAGGAUCAGUUGCUCCGUGACAAGCAUGGCAACAUGGCAUCACUGCAAAGUCGAGACUGUAGCGUUCAAAGAAGGCACCAAAAGGUUAGUGUGUAUUGGUAGAAGUUCUACAGCUUCAGGGAACUAAAACUUCAUUGGACGAUGUAGCAAUCAUAUACUGUUUAGCAAAGUGCAAAAUGUUGCAGGAGCUAUAUAAAAUUUAAGUCUUAGCAUUUUCUUCAAUGGAAUCAUUUAUUGCUGUCAGUUAUACUUAUACUGUACUAAAUAGUUGAAUGUUGCAUUUCGAAUUCAAGAACAAACUUUUUCUUCCUAUAUUGAAUAUUGAUAUAUGUGUCGGGAUGCUGAGGGGAUUCGGCCGGUCUCUCCCUGAGCUAGCGUGCCGCCGAACGGCAGGGGCCAUUUCGACUUGGUUUCUGGCGUGCGACCGAGAUCUGCUCUGUGCAGUGCUGGAAAACUAGACGGUUUCAAUCGAGAUCUGUUCGUUCGUUCGAUCGAAGCUGAUUCAGUUGAGCCCUUAUAUUGUUGUUGUGGCUUCCAAUAAUUGAUGCGUAACAGUUCUGAGAUACACAUACUGAUGCUCCUUCAUGCAAUCAACUAGCUAAGCUAGGUUAACAUUUGGUCUUCCAAAUGGAUACUAGCCCCACCAACAUUAGGGAUUCACUUUAGCUAUAUCAUCAUUAGUAGAUUCUCUGGUUAGUUUUUGCACUUCUCCAUCUCAAACUUGCUAAUUCCGUUUAUUAGUAUUUUGUAUCAUUAUCUUAACCUUGGUAGGCUGAUGGUUGAUUUUGUACUCCCUUUUGUAUAUUAUCCCUUUUGCAUUCUGAGUUUAUUUUUUUCAUAUGUGUUCAUCAAAUUCGGCCUCUGGGUGGCAGGAUUAGCCGAUUUAAAGCAUUCUCUGCGCAAACAUUAGUCGCUGCUAUCCAAAAACCUGUAGAACUAGCUUGCUGUAUAAUUAUUUUAACUCACAUACAUAACGGGUAAAUAAGCACAAAUUGAAAAGGAACCCCUAGGUUUUCUUUAGGUGUGCUCAUUUUUAUACAUUAGUAGAUAGAGUUACAUAAGUUUGCCUCUACCACUACUGAUAUCAGCAAUAAAAUUUAACUGCUUUUUAGUUCUAGGUUGAAAAUGAUGCUGAAGUUCUAAAGAUUCUGUUUGACUGGAUUUUCUUAUUGAUGUGCAGCUGAAUUAGGGAAGGAUGCCGGAGUUACAUGUACACAACCCUUAUUCUGCUAACUAUGGCUCUCUUUUGUUGAUCGCUUGCCUUUUGGAAGCUGUUGGCCUUUGGUUACCCCAAGGGGAAAUUUUCUGGCUUGCUUCACGGGCCGUAGCUCCUCCUUCCCCAACCCCACUUUGUCUCCCCUGUGAUUUGCCUGUUCCUGAUCUUAGUGGCUGGCAUGUCUCAAAUUUUCAUUGGGCAGGGCUACUAACGUAAAGGAGCAAACUGGAAAUUCCACCUGCAUAUUUUAGGCAAUUAUUCAUGUUUUGUAAACCCUUUGUGUGCAUAUGGUAAGCAUGAACUUGUCCCUGCAGCUCAUGAUAAGAGUAGGACCUUAAAUUCGCCAGAAUGAGUUCUUAUUUUGAUUAUCUAUGAAGUCUUAUUUUGAUUAUCUUUCACUUUACUAUAAGAUAAUAAAUCUGGGAAGCUAAAGCUUAACAAGUUUCAAAAUGAGUUUGCCUCCUUUCUCACUCUAUAUAUUGUAUUCUUUGGUCAUUUUAUACCAAGAUCUUGCCCAUGUCCCUGAACUUGUUGAUUUUGUAGGGUUCUUGCAGAUCAUGUUGGCCAUUCCGGGGCAUUGGAGUGGGCCAACUUCGUGACGACGGGCAAGAUGGAGCUGAUCGGCUGCUCGGCGGCGACCAUGAGGUGAGGCAUGGUGCCAGUGGCAGCGGGUGCAGGAAGCAGCAACAUUAGAGAUGGGCACCGAGGUACACUGUUCACUCCCUCUGAAGGAAGAAUCGAUGUAGUAGCUAGCAUUCAUUUUUAGAUGCUAUGUAUCUUUCUGAUUGUUUGGGCAGUAGAGAGCUAUUUAUCUGUAAACAUCUGCAGUAGAGAGCUAUGUAUCUGUAAACAUUAAAUAUUGUUGCAUCAAAGAGCAGUAGCACCUCCUUGUCAUUGUCAAUACCUGUUGAUAUUGUGUAGUGCAUCAUGAUCAGCUACACUGCAAACAUCUGCAAAUAUUACUCUUGCGUUAA
Long non-coding RNA from Triticum aestivum (bread wheat), 16448 nucleotides. RefSeq lists it as uncharacterized. The record is from RefSeq and is a predicted model, not a curated record. Lineage: Eukaryota; Viridiplantae; Streptophyta; Magnoliopsida; Poales; Poaceae. The transcript is spliced from 8 exons.